This 223-nucleotide long non-coding RNA is filed under the name Elaeis guineensis (African oil palm). RNAcentral's name for it is "long non-coding RNA (EGUI_LNC052426)". Lineage: Eukaryota; Viridiplantae; Streptophyta; Magnoliopsida; Arecales; Arecaceae. The record is from RNAcentral.
GAUCAUGUUACACUAGAUGAGGGAGGCGGCUUCAAAGAAGAAAGUGUGUUUACCUUAUGGUAUGCCCCUCAUGAAAAUAUUUAUGGAAGUAGGAGUCCCUCUAGAGAAUGAGACCUACAAGAAGCUAUCACACUCUGACAUUUAUGACGAUAGGUCUUUAAAUGGGAUGAAGUAUCAUGUAAUCAGAGGUAGGUGGGUUAAGAAAGUCUUUGGUCAGGAAAGG